This 1343-nucleotide ribosomal RNA is filed under the name uncultured bacterium. RNAcentral's name for it is "16S ribosomal RNA". It matches the Rfam family "Bacterial small subunit ribosomal RNA", at positions 28 to 1378 of the family's 1533-position model. The record is from RNAcentral.
GACGAACGCUGGCGGCGUGCUUAACACAUGCAAGUCGAACGGAAAGGCCCUGCUUUUGUGGGGUGCUCGAGUGGCGAACGGGUGAGUAACACGUGAGUAACCUGCCCUUGACUUUGGGAUAACUUCAGGAAACUGGGGCUAAUACCGGAUAGGAGCUCCUGCUGCAUGGUGGGGGUUGGAAAGUUUCGGCGGUUGGGGAUGGACUCGCGGCUUAUCAGCUUGUUGGUGGGGUAGUGGCUUACCAAGGCUUUGACGGGUAGCCGGCCUGAGAGGGUGACCGGCCACAUUGGGACUGAGAUACGGCCCAGACUCCUACGGGAGGCAGCAGUGGGGAAUAUUGCACAAUGGGCGGAAGCCUGAUGCAGCAACGCCGCGUGCGGGAUGACGGCCUUCGGGUUGUAAACCGCUUUCGCCUGUGACGAAGCGUGAGUGACGGUAAUGGGUAAAGAAGCACCGGCUAACUACGUGCCAGCAGCCGCGGUGAUACGUAGGGUGCGAGCGUUGUCCGGAUUUAUUGGGCGUAAAGGGCUCGUAGGUGGUUGAUCGCGUCGGAAGUGUAAUCUUGGGGCUUAACCCUGAGCGUGCUUUCGAUACGGGUUGACUUGAGAAGGUAGGGGGAGAAUGGAAUUCCUGGUGGAGCGGUGGAAUGCGCAGAUAUCAGGAGGAACACCAGUGGCGAAGGCGGUUCUCUGGGCCUUUCCUGACGCUGAGGAGCGAAAGCGUGGGGAGCGAACAGGCUUAGAUACCCUGGUAGUCCACGCUGUAAACGGUGGGUACUAGGUGUGGGGUCCAUUCCACGGGUUCCGUGCCGUAGCUAACGCUUUAAGUACCCCGCCUGGGGAGUACGGCCGCAAGGCUAAAACUCAAAGGAAUUGACGGGGCCCCGCACAAGCGGCGGAGCAUGCGGAUUAAUUCGAUGCAACGCGUAGAACCUUACCUGGGUUUGACAUGGAUCGGGAGUGCUCAGAGAUGGGUGUGCCUCUUUUGGGGUCGGUUCACAGGUGGUGCAUGGCUGUCGUCAGCUCGUGUCGUGAGAUGUUGGGUUAAGUCCCGCAACGAGCGCAACCCUUGUUCACUGUUGCCAGCACGUUAUGGUGGGGACUCAGUGGAGACCGCCGGGGUCAACUCGGAGGAAGGUGGGGAUGACGUCAAGUCAUCAUGCCCCUUAUGUCCAGGGCUUCACGCAUGCUACAAUGGCUGGUACAGAGAGUGGCGAGCCUGUGAGGGUGAGCGAAUCUCGGAAAGCCGGUCUCAGUUCGGAUUGGGGUCUGCAACUCGACCUCAUGAAGUCGGAGUCGCUAGUAAUCGCAGAUCAGCAACGCUGCGGUGAAUACGUUCCCGGG